RNAcentral lists this ribosomal RNA (354 nucleotides) under uncultured bacterium. RNAcentral describes it as "bacterial SSU rRNA". It matches the Rfam family "Bacterial small subunit ribosomal RNA", at positions 28 to 375 of the family's 1533-position model. The record is from RNAcentral.
GACGAACGCUGGCGGCGUGCUUAAUACAUGCAAGUCGAGCGAGGUCCAUCUGGUGGCAACACCAGUGAAGGCCGAGCGGCGAACGGGUGAGUAACACGUGAGCAACCUGCCCCGAAGUCUGGAAUAACAUCGGGAAACCGGUGCUAAUACCGGAUCGCCCCACCUGACCGCAUGAUCGGGUGAGGAAAGAUUUAUCGCUUCGGGAGGGGCUCGCGGCCUAUCAGCAGUUGGUGGGGUAACGGCCUACCAAGGCGUCGACGGGUAGCUGGUCUGAGAGGACGACCAGCCACACUGGGACUGAGACACGGCCCAGACUCCUACGGGAGGCAGCAGUAGGGAAUCUUGCGCAAUGGG